AUUGAACGCUGGCGGAAUGCUUUACACAUGCAAGUCGAACGGCAGCAUAGGUGCUUGCACCUGAUGGCGAGUGGCGAACGGGUGAGUAAUACAUCGGAACGUGCCCAGUCGUGGGGGAUAACGUAGCGAAAGUUACGCUAAUACCGCAUACGAUCUACGGAUGAAAGCGGGGGACCGUAAGGCCUCGCGCGAUUGGAGCGGCCGAUGUCAGAUUAGGUAGUUGGUGGGGUAAAGGCCCACCAAGCCAACGAUCUGUAGCUGGUCUGAGAGGACGACCAGCCACACUGGGACUGAGACACGGCCAAGACUCCUACGGGAGGGAGCAGUGGGGAAUUUUGGACAAUUGGCGCAAGCCUGAUCCAGCCAUUCCGCGUGCAGGAUGAAGGCCUUCGGGUUGUAAACUGCUUUUGUACGGAACGAAAAGCUCUGGGUUAAUACCCCGGGGUCAUGACGGUACCGUAAGAAUAAGCACCGGCUAACUACGUGCCAGCCGCCGCCGUAA
Molecule: ribosomal RNA, 502 nt
Filed under: uncultured bacterium
Lineage: Bacteria
Description: partial 16S ribosomal RNA
Rfam family: Bacterial small subunit ribosomal RNA
Source: RNAcentral